AGAAUCAACGCUGGCGGCGUGCCUAACACAUGCAAGUCGAACGAGAAAGUGGAGCAAUCCAUGAGUAAAGUGGCGCACGGGUGAGCAACACGUGACUAACCUACCCUUGAGUGGGGAAUAACCUCGGGAAACCGGGCUAAUACCGCAUAACACCUACGGGUCAAAGGAGCAAUUCGCUUAAGGAGGGGUCGCGGCAGAUUAGUUAGUUGGCGGGGUAAUGGCCCACCAAGACGGUGAUCUGUA
Molecule: ribosomal RNA, 243 nt
Filed under: uncultured bacterium
Lineage: Bacteria
Description: partial small subunit ribosomal RNA
Rfam family: Bacterial small subunit ribosomal RNA
Source: RNAcentral